UACGGGGGGGGCAAGCGUUGUUCGGAAUUACUGGGCGUAAAGGGCUCGUAGGUGGCCAAUUAAGUCAGACGUGAAAUCCCCAGGCUCAACCUGGGAACUGCGUCCGAUACUGGCAGGCUUGAAUCCGGGAGAGGGAUGUGGAAUUCCAGGUGUAGCGGUGAAAUGCGUAGAUAUCUGGAGGAAUACCGGUGGCGAAGGCGGCAUCCUGGACCGAGAUUGACACUGAUGAGCGAAAGCCAGGGGAGCAAACGGG
Molecule: ribosomal RNA, 253 nt
Filed under: uncultured bacterium
Lineage: Bacteria
Description: partial 16S ribosomal RNA
Rfam family: Bacterial small subunit ribosomal RNA
Source: RNAcentral